Molecule: ribosomal RNA, 458 nt
Filed under: uncultured Pseudomonas sp.
Lineage: Bacteria; Pseudomonadati; Pseudomonadota; Gammaproteobacteria; Pseudomonadales; Pseudomonadaceae
Description: bacterial SSU rRNA
Rfam family: Bacterial small subunit ribosomal RNA
Source: RNAcentral
CACAAGCGGUGGAGCAUGUGGUUAAUUCGAAGCAACGCGAAGAACCUUACCAGGCCUUGACAUGCAGAGAACUUUCCAGAGAUGGAUUGGUGCCUUCGGGAACUCUGACACAGGUGCUGCAUGGCUGUCGUCAGCUCGUGUCGUGAGAUGUUGGGUUAAGUCCCGUAACGAGCGCAACCCUUGUCCUUAGUUACCAGCACGUUAUGGUGGGCACUCUAAGGAGACUGCCGGUGACAAACCGGAGGAAGGUGGGGAUGACGUCAAGUCAUCAUGGUCCUUACGGCCUGGGCUACACACGUGCUACAAUGGUCGGUACAAAGGGUUGCCAAGCCGCGAGGUGGAGCUAAUCCCAUAAAACCGAUCGUAGUCCGGAUCGCAGUCUGCAACUCGACUGCGUGAAGUCGGAAUCGCUAGUAAUCGUGAAUCAGAAUGUCACGGUGAAUACGUUCCCGGGCCUU